CCCAAACAUGCACUAAGCGUGAGGGAGGCUAUGGAACGACCUAACGGUAGAAAGAUCGUGCUCAGGUUCAACAAUGCAAAGCAAGCAAUUGGAAACGAAGUUGGACUGUUGAGUAGUGUGCUUGGUCUGCUAGGAUCUGACUUUGGAAAUUUUCCUAUCUGUGAGGAAAGUUGGCGUAAGAUUACCACUAAGGACAAAGUUUAUAACAAAUAUGUCAAGCAAAUUUUCCACUUUGAUGAAGAUAGCGAAUGAACUAUCAAGAAAAAUAUUUUGAAAAUUAUGGGGAAGUCUUGGAAGAAAACAAGGCUGAGGUUGUAUAAUGCUUAUUUCGAGCCAACGUUCACGACUGAACAAAAUAUUGAGAACCGUCUGCCAGGAAUCGAUCGAGAGCAUUGGAGAUGGUUCCUUGACUAUCGCGCCAAAGUUGAGACGAAGGAGAAGUGCA
This is a non-coding RNA of Arachis ipaensis, 445 nucleotides long. Lineage: Eukaryota; Viridiplantae; Streptophyta; Magnoliopsida; Fabales; Fabaceae. The record is from RefSeq and is a predicted model, not a curated record.